CGGGGGUGCCGGCAGACUCCCCGUAUCCAGACGCUCCCCGCGUCCAAGCUCUGC
This 54-nucleotide non-coding RNA is filed under the name unclassified sequences. Its description in RNAcentral is "chromate-resist RNA". It matches the Rfam family "chrB-b RNA". The record is from RNAcentral.